CAGUUGGGCGGUGAAAAGUUGGAGUCCGCUGAGGGGUGUGCAACAGCUCACCCGCCGAAGCGAGAAGCUCCAAGAAUGGAUGCCGCCCCAGCCAGCGCACCGCCCUCGCCUCACGGCAUAUGCCGCCGUCGCAGCAGCAGGGCAGGGCGCCGGCGUGCAAGUGGACGCAGGGGAGA
This 176-nucleotide ribosomal RNA is filed under the name Eutreptiella gymnastica. RNAcentral's name for it is "partial Eukaryotic large subunit ribosomal RNA". Lineage: Eukaryota; Euglenozoa; Euglenophyceae; Eutreptiales; Eutreptiaceae. The record is from RNAcentral.